This 478-nucleotide ribosomal RNA is filed under the name uncultured bacterium. RNAcentral describes it as "partial 16S ribosomal RNA". It matches the Rfam family "Bacterial small subunit ribosomal RNA", at positions 28 to 507 of the family's 1533-position model. The record is from RNAcentral.
GACGAACGCUGGCGGCGUGCUUAACACAUGCAAGUCGAACGUGAUUUUUGUGGAAAUUCUUUCGGGAAUGGAAAUGAAAUGAAAGUGGCGAACGGGUGGGUAACACGUGAGCAACCUACCUUACACAGGGGGAUAGCCGUUGGAAACGACGAUUAAUACCGCAUGAGACCACAGAAUCGCAUGAUAUAGGGGUCAAAGAUUUAUCGGUGUAAGAAGGGCUCGCGUCUGAUUAGCUAGUUGGAAGGGUAAAGGCCUACCAAGGCGACGAUCAGUAGCCGGUCUGAGAGGAUGAACGGCCACAUUGGAACUGAGACACGGUCCAAACUCCUACGGGAGGCAGCAGUGGGGAAUAUUGCACAAUGGGGGGAACCCUGAUGCAGCGACGCCGCGUGAGCGAAGAAGGUUUUCGAAUCGUAAAGCUCUGUCCUAUGAGAAGAUAAUGACGGUAUCAUAGGAGGAAGCCCCGGCUAAAUACGUG